CCUACGGGGGGCAGCAGUGGGGAAUAUUGCACAAUGGGGGCAACCCUGAUGCAGCGACGCCGCGUGAGUGAAGAAGUAUUUCGGUAUGUAAAGCUCUAUUAGCAGGGAAGAAAAUGACGGUAUCUGUUUAAGAUGCGCCGGCUAACUACGUGCCAGAAGCCGCGGUAAUACGUAGGGGGCAAGCGUUAUCCGGAUUUACUGGGUGUAAAGGGAGCGUAGACGGCAGCACAAGUCUGGAGUGAAAUGUCGGGGCUUAACCCCGGAACUGCAUUGGAAACUGUGCAGCUUGUGUGCAGGAGAGGGAGAUGGAAUUCCUAGUGUAGCGGUGAAAUGCGUAGAUAUUAGGAGGAACACCAGUGGCGAAGGCGGCUUACUGGACUGUAACUGACGUUGAGGCGCGAAAGCGUGGGGAGCAAACAGGAUUAGAUACCCCUGUAGUC
Molecule: ribosomal RNA, 440 nt
Filed under: uncultured bacterium
Lineage: Bacteria
Description: partial 16S ribosomal RNA
Rfam family: Bacterial small subunit ribosomal RNA
Source: RNAcentral